AGUGAACGUUGGCGGCGUGGAUUAGGCAUGCAAGUCGAGCGAUCGUAGCAAUACGGGAGCGGCAAACGGGGUAGGAAUACAUCGGAACGUACCUUUUGGUUGAGAAUAGCGUUGGGAAACUGACGGUAAUACUCAAUAAAGUCGAGAGACCAAAGGUUUACUGCCGGAAGAGCGGCCGAUGCGAUAUUAGGUAGUUGGUGGGGUAAUGGCCUACCAAGCCUGAGAUGUCUAGGGGGUGUGAGAGCAUGGCCCCCACCACUGGGACUGAGAUACUGCCCAGACACCUACGGGUGGCUGCAGUCGAGGAUCUUCGUCAAUGGGCGAAAGCCUGAACGAGCGACGCCGCGUGCGGGAUGAAGGCCCUUGGGUUGUAAACCGCUGUCGAGGGGGAUGAACCGUAAGGUUGACAGAGCCCAGAGGAAGCACGGGCUAAGUUCGUG
This 440-nucleotide ribosomal RNA is filed under the name uncultured bacterium. RNAcentral describes it as "bacterial SSU rRNA". It matches the Rfam family "Bacterial small subunit ribosomal RNA", at positions 29 to 507 of the family's 1533-position model. The record is from RNAcentral.